GACGAACGCUGGCGGCGUGCCUAAUACAUGCAAGUCGAGCGGACAGAUGGGAGCUUGCUCCCUGAUGUUAGCGGCGGACGGGUGAGUAACACGUGGGUAACCUGCCUGUAAGACUGGGAUAACUCCGGGAAACCGGGGCUAAUACCGGAUGCUUGUUUGAACCGCAUGGUUCAAACAUAAAAGGUGGCUUCGGCUACCACUUACAGAUGGACCCGCGGCGCAUUAGCUAGUUGGUGAGGUAAUGGCUCACCAAGGCAACGAUGCGUAGCCGACCUGAGAGGGUGAUCGGCCACACUGGGACUGAGACACGGCCCAGACUCCUACGGGAGGCAGCAGUAGGGAAUCUUCCGCAAUGGACGAAAGUCUGACGGAGCAACGCCGCGUGAGUGAUGAAGGUUUUCGGAUCGUAAAGCUCUGUUGUUAGGGAAGAACAAGUGCCGUUCAAAUAGGGCGGCACCUUGACGGUACCUAACCAGAAAGCCACGGCUAACUACGUGCCAGCAGCCGCGGUAAUACGUAGGUGGCAAGCGUUGUCCGGAAUUAUUGGGCGUAAAGGGCUCGCAGGCGGUUUCUUAAGUCUGAUGUGAAAGCCCCCGGCUCAACCGGGGAGGGUCAUUGGAAACUGGGGAACUUGAGUGCAGAAGAGGAGAGUGGAAUUCCACGUGUAGCGGUGAAAUGCGUAGAGAUGUGGAGGAACACCAGUGGCGAAGGCGACUCUCUGGUCUGUAACUGACGCUGAGGAGCGAAAGCGUGGGGAGCGAACAGGAUUAGAUACCCUGGUAGUCCACGCCGUAAACGAUGAGUGCUAAGUGUUAGGGGGUUUCCGCCCCUUAGUGCUGCAGCUAACGCAUUAAGCACUCCGCCUGGGGAGUACGGUCGCAAGACUGAAACUCAAA
Molecule: ribosomal RNA, 896 nt
Filed under: Bacillus sp. AS7
Lineage: Bacteria; Bacillati; Bacillota; Bacilli; Caryophanales; Bacillaceae
Description: bacterial SSU rRNA
Rfam family: Bacterial small subunit ribosomal RNA
Source: RNAcentral